UACGUAGGGGGCAAGCGUUAUCCGGAUUUACUGGGUGUAAAGGGAGCGUAGACGGUGCAGCAAGUCUGAUGUGAAAGGUCGGGGCCCAACCCCGGGAGUGCAUUUGAAACUGUCUGGCUAGAGUGCAGGAGAGGUAAGUGGAAUUCCUAGUGUAGCGGUGAAAUGCAUAGAUAUUAGGAGGAACACCAGUGGCGAAGGCGGCUUACUGGUCUGUAACUGACGCUGAGGUUCGAAAGCGUGGGUAGCAAACAGG
This 253-nucleotide ribosomal RNA is filed under the name uncultured Eubacteriales bacterium. RNAcentral's name for it is "uncultured Clostridiales bacterium partial 16S ribosomal RNA". It matches the Rfam family "Bacterial small subunit ribosomal RNA", at positions 524 to 776 of the family's 1533-position model. Lineage: Bacteria; Bacillati; Bacillota; Clostridia; Eubacteriales. The record is from RNAcentral.